GCCCGUGUGGCUCAGUGGACAGAGCGUCGGCCUGUGGACUGAAGGGUCCCGGGUUCGAGUCCAGUCAAGGGCA
This 73-nucleotide transfer RNA is filed under the name Myotis brandtii (Brandt's bat). It matches the Rfam family "tRNA". Rfam says of the family: Transfer RNA (tRNA) molecules are approximately 80 nucleotides in length. Their secondary structure includes four short double-helical elements and three loops (D, anti-codon, and T loops). The record is from Rfam by way of RNAcentral. Lineage: Eukaryota; Metazoa; Chordata; Mammalia; Chiroptera; Vespertilionidae.